RNAcentral lists this ribosomal RNA (484 nucleotides) under uncultured bacterium. Its description in RNAcentral is "partial 16S ribosomal RNA". It matches the Rfam family "Bacterial small subunit ribosomal RNA", at positions 30 to 507 of the family's 1533-position model. The record is from RNAcentral.
AUUGAACGCUGGCGGCAGGCCUAACACAUGCAAGUCGAGCGGAUGAAGGGAGCUUGCUCCUGGAUUCAGCGGCGGACGGGUGAGUAAUGCCUAGGAAUCUGCCUGGUAGUGGGGGAUAACGUCCGGAAACGGGCGCUAAUACCGCAUACGUCCUGAGGGAGAAAGUGGGGGAUCUUCGGACCUCACGCUAUCAGAUGAGCCUAGGUCGGAUUAGCUAGUUGGUGGGGUAAAGGCCUACCAAGGCGACGAUCCGUAACUGGUCUGAGAGGAUGAUCAGUCACACUGGAACUGAGACACGGUCCAGACUCCGACGGGAGGCAGCAGUGGGGAAUAUUGGGCGAUGGGGGAAAGGCUGAUCCAGGCAAGCCGGGUGUGUGAAGAAGGUCUUCGGAUUGUAAAGCAAUUUAAGUUGGGAGGAAGGGCAGUAAGUUAAUACCUUGCUGUUUUGACGUUACCAACAGAAUAAGCACCGGCUAACUUCGUG